Molecule: ribosomal RNA, 429 nt
Filed under: Actinomycetes bacterium
Lineage: Bacteria; Bacillati; Actinomycetota; Actinomycetes
Description: Actinobacteria bacterium partial 16S ribosomal RNA
Rfam family: Bacterial small subunit ribosomal RNA
Source: RNAcentral
UAGGGAAUCUUCCGCAAUGGGCGAAAGCCUGACGGAGCAACGCCGCGUGAGUGAUGAAGGUCUUCGGAUCGUAAAACUCUGUUAUUAGGGAAGAACAAAUGUGUAAGUAACUAUGCACGUCUUGACGGUACCUAAUCAGAAAGCCACGGCUAACUACGUGCCAGCAGCCGCGGUAAUACGUAGGUGGCAAGCGUUAUCCGGAAUUAUUGGGCGUAAAGCGCGCGUAGGCGGUUUUUUAAGUCUGAUGUGAAAGCCCACGGCUCAACCGUGGAGGGUCAUUGGAAACUGGUAAACUUGAGUGCAGAAGAGGAAAGUGGAAUUCCAUGUGUAGCGGUGAAAUGCGCAGAGAUAUGGAGGAACACCAGUGGCGAAGGCGACUUUCUGGUCUGUAACUGACGCUGAUGUGCGAAAGCGUGGGGAUCAAACAGG